GUCUCCGGUAGCUAGGCUGCUCCUUUUACAAGAAGCUUUACCUGACCAGUCGUGAGCUGAUCUUCUGAGCUUGCUUCGAACUCUCUUGCUCUAUGAUUCUUUCUCAAAUCAACAGAGCUCUGCUCUAAUCACUGUCUUUGUGCUCCCUGAAAAGAAGACUGUCCUUGUCUUCACACCUCACCGCCCAGGACAGUAUUCAGGGACAGAAGGGGUGGCCUCAAAGAAGUGGCUUAGACUGAGGGUGACGGACAGAGAGGCCGGACAGUCACAGAAGCUUAUUCCUGUCCACCCACACAGCAGAGGACAGCGGGAGGCCAUGUGACGCGUCCUAGCAAUGUGGUAUAAAGAGCACUAGACUGGAAAGAAUUCAAAGACAAUGCACUAGCUGGGGACAGUGGGCCCACCAGACCCUCUCCAGGCUCUUGGCUCUGUCUGUAAACAUAAGACAACCUUUCCCUCUCUGCCCACUUCAAGGUGGGCAGUGAGGAGGGUUCAGGAAGAUGAUGAAUGGGGAGAGCACUUCUGGCCGCGGUUCCCUCAUGAGUGGGGCUGGGGCAGACACUUACUUAUCCACCAUGCCUUUGUGCUGGAGGAUACUGUGCAGCUCCCGGGCUGUCUGGGGCCCCUGCAGCUUCUGUCCAUUCAGCAUCUCUUUCUCCAACUGCUCAAUGGACUGUGAAGAAAAUAGGACAGGCAGAUGGAAAUGGGAGAGGGGAGUUGUCAGUGUGAGAUGGAGAGACGGGGGCUCCGGCAGGAGGUGGGUCUUAAGAGGAAAGAAAUGGGAAUGUUCACAACAAUCUUAAUGUUUGUACUCAAGAGAUGCCACAAGCCAGGUUCCUCUGCCUUAACACCUACAGGGCCCAACCUCCCUGCUCCAUUCUCCCCAGGGCCCACCUUUCCUGUGCGGGCGAAGGCCUCGGCCACCUUUCGGUUCCGCCCUCCAUAGCAGGUAGUGAUGAGGUCAGCAACACCGCAGCUCUCCAAGAAGGUGGCAGAGGACACGGAGCCGCUGCAGAAGAGCUUGGCGAAGGCGAUCAUCUCCAUGAGUCCCAAUCGGAUCACAGCCGCCUUGGUGUUGUCGCCAAAGCCCAGGCCGUCACAGAAGCCAGCCCCCACAGCCACUAUAUUCUUUGAAGAGUGGAGUCAUGGGUGAGAAAGGAUCCCUCCCGCAGGCCCCACUUGGGACCCUCAGCACCUGCCUCAUGCUUCUUCCACCAGCCAUGACAUGCCCACUUCCUUCAUAAUGAAGGAAGAUGUGUGGGCGCCUCAACUCCUUCCAUUCUUGGUUUCCCCACUGGUUGCACUCCCUUCUUUUGGCUGCACUCCCUUCUUUUAGCCUGGACUUGUGCUUCCUGGCUCCCCAGCCCUGCGCUAUACUCCAUCCUUGAGGACUUUCCCUGAAAACUAGUCUACCUGGCCCCCCCAACCAUGGCUGUUUUAUGUCCCUGAUAGCCAUCCAUAGCUCUGUCCAGGAGCCAGAGUUCUGGUCAUCAGUCUGUCUGGGUGUCCUGGACAUCUCAUCUCCCCUUACCCUGGGUGCUCCACCAGGGCAUCUCCUCUUCCCCGCCAGACCAGCCCUUUGAGCCAGGGAUAGGGUGUCCAACAAGGGGCUACAGAGGAAAGGAAGAAGGGAGCCCAGAGUCUGAAGGUAAGCGCCUGCAGGCCUGAGUGAUCCUGGCUCUGCCUCUGCAGUGCUCCCCAUGUGUACUGUACUCAGGGAGGAUGGGGGGUGAGCACCUGGAGUCCCAGCAACAUUGUGCAGCUAAGCUAGGCCUUCUUUCAGGACCUGCUCCCCACCCACACUGCCUCGUGCCCCUCUCACCUUUAAGGCCCCACAGAUCUCUACUGUGUCCACCUCCUGCACCACCGUGACGCGGAAAUUGGGUGUCUGCAUCAACUCUUUCAGGAGCUGUCCGUGGGCCAGGUUCUUGCUACCUAAAUUGGGGAGGGGGUAAGGCUUUAAGAAGGGGCUCUUGAUUCUUCUUCCCACACCUGCCCGAAUCAGGACCUCCAACUGUUUCUGUAGGGGCAUCCAACCCCUCUCAUCUCUAAUGCCGGGGUCUUCUUCCUUCCCCUGCCUUAUGGGGAGAAGAGGGCCAGGUGGGCGGGGAAUAGAGCACGGGGAGCGGGUAUAACUGGAGUUGCACCAUGUAUGUGGGUGGGUGGGGUCUCACCGAUGGUUGUCUCACAGAACUUCUCCUCAGCCACCUCGUUGGCAAUGUUGGCCCCCAUCAGCACGCUCAUGGGGAUGCCAAGGUGCUCCCCAAUCACUUCAGAGAUGAGCUUCAGCCCCUUGGGGCCCUCGUCUACCCCCUGGGCACAGGAUGGAGCUCAGGACAGGUGCCUUUUACCCCAGCUGAGGGCUUCCCCCAGAAAUCCUGCCCCUUCCAAAUUCAGUGUUCGUCAAGUGUCCCUCCCCAAAGGUCCUCCCCUAGUCCAGCACAGCCAGAGCUUGCUGUGAGGAGAGCGGAUAGCCUGUGAAAAUGAAACCAUCCGAAAAUUCUCCCACAACCUACUUCUCCAAGGUAAUGUAUCCCUCCACACCCCUGAACACCCCACCCCUGAGUACUCCAAACCAGCUUCCAUCCCAGCCACUGCUCCAAACCAGCUGCCCUUCUCAGGUCCUCAAACCCAGCUCCUCAAUCCAGCCUGCUUCUCAUAUCCCCUUAGCAUCCCUCAUACAUCUAAAUUCCCUAAGACAUCUGCCUCCAAACUGACACCUUAUCUACUCCGCAACCAACUUCCUCUUCCCAAUGACCCCGGCAUAUGUUUCUCAAGCCUCCCCAAAGCCAACUCUUCUCCUCUCUUCAGAAAAUUCCUGGCCUACUUAUGCGGUUUUCUGUGUGUCUCACUUCACCAACCCUGAGCCCCACAGCAGGUAGCUGUACCCCCUUCCACAGGACGGUGUCUCUGGCACCUUAAUAAGAGACACGCCAAUGGUGUUGGCCUUCAGGUGGCCCUUGAGCUGAUCACAGAUCUUGCCGAUGAACUGAUGGGGCACCACGAAGAUCAGGAUGUCGGCAUCCGCUGCAGCCUGGACCACAUCAGGGACAGCCACCUGUGGGGGUGACCAGUGCUCAUGGGCCUGACAGACUUCUUCUAGCCCCUGUGGAGCCCCAUUAUGGAGAUCUAGGAGCUAGAGUGAGGCUGGUGGGGAAGAAGGAAGGUUGGGGUUGAAUCUGGAAGGGCUGAACCUGGAGGAGCAAGACACUCUAUUCUCUCCCCCUCGCCAUCAUUUCUUCUAUGCUUCAGCUGUCCUGGACUCUUGGGAACUCCUGGAAACCUCCUCCCAGCUGUCUCCUAGCCCUUGGCUGUGGGACAGUGAAGUCUGGGCUUGGCAGGAGGAAGAUGACAAGUAAGAUUUCAUCACCCUGCUCCUUAGGGCCCCCAGCUGGGAAUGGAGAGCCCCAGUCUUCCUGCUCUCUUCCCUGCUCGCCCUUUCUAGGUGGGGAGUAAGCCACAUGGAUUUGACCAAAGACCUUAAGUCCAAGGAGCAGUCUCCAUGUCUGCUAAUCAUUCAGUGAAUGAGUAACAGGAUUAGAGCCCGAGGCAGGCACUACCUGAACCCCAAGUCUGGGAGCCAGAGAACCUGCCUUUGGUUGUCAUGGAGACCAACUUCCUCAUCUUCUCCCCCUCCCUUUCCUCCUGGGAGCCCAUGGGGCAAGGUGGAGAUGCAGGGGUAUGCAUUCAGGUUGUCCUCAACCCCAGGAAGUGCUCUGGGAGCUGUGCACGAGGAUACCCUGUGCCUGGAGGAGCCCUCCUGAGAUGCUCCUCAGGUCCAGUGGUGCUUGAAAUGGCCCCCUCACUUCCCUCUCCCUCUCCCCCGCGUGUUGGGGCUCACCACAUUGGGGGGCAGCUUGUGCCCUGGCAGGUAUUUGACAUUCUCGUGCUCUGUGUUGAUGAUCUCUGUCAGCUUUCUGCCCCCGAUGUCUUCCUCAAACACCCACAUGGUCACCCGUGGGUCAAAGUGUGCCAGCUGGGCUGCAUUGCCACCCACAAUCUUGGCGAUGGCUGAGCCCCUGGCGGGAGGGGGGAGUGCAGAAAGUGGAGUGAGGGAGGAACAGUAGCAGGGGAGGGGACAGUGCUCCACCUCAGGAUAUCACAGUAUCCACUGGACUAUUUACUUGCCACCUCCCUUGUCACCCCCUCUCCUAUGACACUGUGUCUCUAAUGAGCAGGCAACAGAAAGGAGACUCAGUCUCCCUGACACUGCUGCUGGAGAAGGGGGCCAGCUUUCUGAUCUCCCAACACUGCGCCCCACCUCCACCCAUGCAGUUUUUCAGGCAGGGAGCACUCUGGAGGCUCCCUUCCUGUGGGGAACAGGUGCCAUGCCGAGAGGCAAGGGCCAGGAGGGGUCAGGGCACCCUCUGUCCUAGUGGGGUAGGCAAGAGACAGCAGCGGGAGCCGGAGCACUUCCUGCUCACCAAGCCUCCGUCCCUGACUUCCGCAGACUUGAGGGAGCCCCCCUGCCCCCCAACACACUCCUUGACAGAGCUGCUUACCAGUUGCCAGAGCCUACAAUGCAGACUUUCUUGCCGGUCAUGGUGCUGCUUCUCUGCCUGAGCCGCCAGCUGGGUGCCACUCUCCCCAGCUCCCCUGCUGGCUGGGAGCAUAUAACUCCAACACACGUGGGUGCAGCCAAGCCCCACCCUCCAGGGGAGGGGAGGCGGGCACCGAGGGAGACAGAGUCUGGCAGGGCCAGGGAAAGGGGGGAAAAGGGGAGAGAGACAGGUGGGGAACAGGAAUGGGGCACAGACUAGGCCCGCUUUUCCUCUUAGGUUUGCCAGCUGACAGUGCUGGCAAGCUUCUUCCCUUGGCUCCAGCCCAGGUCCUCACCCCCCUCCCUCCCUGCAAUGGGCUCAUCUUGAGGUCUGCCAAGAGCAAGCCCAGAUAAGGAACAAGUGACCAGUCGCCUGUGCUCCCUUCUGUCCCCUAGCCCUGGAAUAAACUGUAUUCAGUCCCAGCAGCAGAUACAGGCAUGCUUACUUUUCCAACGUAGGAAUUGCCCCAUGUGAUCUCCCAGGACCCCCAAAACUGCGCUGCAGGUUUAACCUCUGGCAGUGAUGGGUCACGUGUCACAGGUCCCACUCUAGCUCCACUGCAGGGCUGUGCGUGAGUGAGAUGGGUGGGUGUAAGCCCUUUUAUGUAAGGUAGGACCCCAUAGAAGGGGAGGGGAGGGGCUGCUUUGGGGGCAGCCGGAGGAUAAGACCCCACUAGCCUGAGAAACAGAACCCACCACUGGGCCUCUCCUCACCUGAAUGCCUUCCAGAAAGGAGGGUAGGAAGUGUUAAAGUUGGACGCAAAGUUGUCCACAAGUCUUUUGCAGACUCUGGGCUUGAGGACAGAAGGCAGGCAGCCCAAGUGUUCACUAUCCUUGAGAGGCACUGAGCUUCCUUCACUUCUCUCUUGGGUUUCCUAGCUGCUAACACGACAGGGGCUCCUUCAGUUUAGUGGCUAGUUUGCAGAAGCCAGAAAGGGAAGGGAGGCAGGACGUGGGGCAGCUGUGACCUCUGUGAGCCUUGUGGUCUCAGAUGCUGUAACUGAGACUCAGUGGGGUGUGUGCUUUUGGGAGGAGGGAGAAUGGAAGACACAUUGAGUAGCUCAAGGCUCUAUGUUGCCCACAGCAAUGUUUAAGCAGGGAGCUUCGGUUUCUAGGCUGAUGUGGAGAGCGGGGCAAAGGCCCCUAACGCUCCAGCUGUCUGUGCACCUUGGCCUGGAAGGCAGACAUCACUGUGUGCUCACGUGCUGACCUCCUGGCUUGGCCAACUGCUGAGUGGGUGUUUUCGUCCCCCUGGGCUCUUGCUGGCUGCAAACUGUGGAACAAAAUUAAGCCUACUACAGAGCCAGCUUCCUGCAGAUUACUGUUAUUGCACUGGCAUUGAGAAAAAGGCACCAGUGCCAGGCUGCCAGCUGGGAGCUCCGAUUAUGGGUGAUGAAGAAAGAAUGCUUCUGUCCCUGGCACAUAGGAUGAGAACCCCAAAGAAUGGAUGUUUAUGCAUAAAAUAACCUCCUGUCUUUGCCUAAA
Cervus elaphus (red deer) is the source of this 6025-nucleotide long non-coding RNA. RefSeq lists it as uncharacterized. The record is from RefSeq and is a predicted model, not a curated record. The transcript is spliced from 3 exons. NCBI's taxonomy places the organism in Eukaryota, Metazoa, Chordata, Mammalia, Artiodactyla, Cervidae.